CCUACGGGCGGCAGCAGUGAGGAAUAUUGGUCAAUGGACGCAAGUCUGAACCAGCCAUGCCGCGUGCAGGAAGACGGCUCUAUGAGUUGUAAACUGCUUUUGUACGAGGGUAAACGCAGAUACGCGUAUCUGUCUGAAAGUAUCGUACGAAUAAGGAUCGGCUAACGCCGUGCCAGCAGCCGCGGUACUACGGAGGAUUCAAGCGUUAUCCGGAUUGAUUGGGUUUAAAGGGUUCGUAGGCGGUCGGAUAAGUUAGAGGUGAAAUCCCGAGGCUCAACUUCGGAAUUGCAUCUGAUACUGUUCGGCUAGAGAGUAGUUGCGGUAGGCGGAAUGUAUGGUGUAGCGGUGAAAUGCUUAGAGAUGAUAAAGAAAACCGAUUGCGAAGGCAGCUUACCAAGCUACUUCUGACGUUGAGGCACGAAAGCGUGGGGAGCAAACAGGAUUAGAUACCCCGGUAGUC
Molecule: ribosomal RNA, 460 nt
Filed under: uncultured bacterium
Lineage: Bacteria
Description: partial 16S ribosomal RNA
Rfam family: Bacterial small subunit ribosomal RNA
Source: RNAcentral